GUUCCUUGCCACAAACUUCCAGCAUUGGAAGACUUAGAGAACAGGCUCUCCCUUCUUCCUGGGGGCCUUGGGAAGUUUCUGACGGGAGGAGGGAGGCAGACUCCCCUCUCCGCGGAGGGCGAGGCGCCUCUGGGAGGAGGAGGACCGAGAGAAAGGGUCUCCAACAGCGAACCUUUGUCCCGGAAUGCAGAUGAGCCAGCCGCGCGCAGACAAUGCCCGCCCAGUCCUCGCUGCCCCCAUCCAUCUGCGGCUAUUUUGUUAACCCGAUGUUUCUUACAUUCUUUCUCUCGCGCAGAAUACUUGAUGUUGACAGCUGUGAAUUUUAAACAACCAUUCUGGGUAUGUUUUCCUAAUUUUGUGUAUUCAGAUUGUUUUUCCGUAUUGGGGGUGGGGGCUGGCAGCCAAGUACCUUACAGUUCCUUCAUUGAGAGAUUUCAUGCCUUUCCAAAGUGGUGGAGAUUCCGAUUGCUAAACACAAAGUAGAAAUUAAAUGUGCGCACCC
This 502-nucleotide long non-coding RNA is filed under the name Fukomys damarensis (Damara mole-rat). RNAcentral's name for it is "lncRNA (ENSFDAG00000024665.1)". The record is from RNAcentral. Lineage: Eukaryota; Metazoa; Chordata; Mammalia; Rodentia; Bathyergidae.